This 455-nucleotide long non-coding RNA is filed under the name Felis catus (domestic cat). Its description in RNAcentral is "lncRNA (ENSFCAG00000042961.2)". The record is from RNAcentral. Lineage: Eukaryota; Metazoa; Chordata; Mammalia; Carnivora; Felidae.
AGCUAUUUUAUUUUUUAAUAAAUUUACAAAUUGUCCUUAUACUUAGGUUGCAUAGCAUGUGAUAUAAAAAUCAAACUGAACUUUCUGGAGAGAUGGUGAACAAGAUCAAACACACCCAAAGUGGGAGCUAUCCGAGAGGAGACUGAAAUUCGUCCAUUCAAUUAAAAUGGCAUUUAUGAGACACUAUAUGUUCACAUAAAAAUAGCAUCAGACACAGUACAGAAGCCAAAAGCUUCAAGAGAGAAGAAAUCCAGAGAACAAUGGAAAUGGGCUUGAAGAGCUCCCUGUUGUGCCGAGAACCUCCACUGUCAGCAUCGGGAGACCUCCAUCUCAGGAUAUUCCAAAGAUCUUGCACACAAGUGCUCGCAAGGUAGGAGCCAAUAUUGUUGCAAUGGUGUUUGGGAAAUGAAGGAACUGCAACAGCAGGAAAGAAUAAAAAAUAGAGUCAAUGACCA